AUUUUUCGACUCUGUAUCAUCGGUCUCGAAAACCGGAGUAGGGGCAACUCUACCGGGGGGGCAAAUCCCCCUCUCUCCGCCA
Molecule: transfer RNA, 82 nt
Filed under: Shigella boydii
Lineage: Bacteria; Pseudomonadati; Pseudomonadota; Gammaproteobacteria; Enterobacterales; Enterobacteriaceae
Also listed under: 1 other name
Description: tRNA-Xxx
Source: RNAcentral